CGAUGAAGCCCUUCGGGGUGGAUUAGUGGCGAACGGGUGAGUAACACGUGGGUAAUCUGCCCUGCACUUCGGGACAAGCCCUGGAAACGGGGUCUAAUACCGGAUACUACUACUGGCCGCAUGGUCUGGUGGUGGAAAGCUCCGGCGGUGCAGGAUGAACCCGCGGCCUAUCAGCUUGUUGGUGAGGUAGUGGCUCACCAAGGCGACGACGGGUAGCCGGCCUGAGAGGGCGACCGGCCACACUGGGACUGAGACACGGCCCAGACUCCUACGGGAGGCAGCAGUGGGGAAUAUUGCACAAUGGGCGAAAGCCUGAUGCAGCGACGCCGCGUGAGGGAUGACGGCCUUCGGGUUGUAAACCUCUUUCAGCAGGGAAGAAGCGUGAGUGACGGUACCUGCAGAAGAAGCGCCGGCUAACUACGUGCCAGCAGCCGCGGUAAUACGUAGGGCGCAAGCGUUGUCCGGAAUUAUUGGGCGUAAAGAGCUCGUAGGCGGCGUGUCGCGUCGGUUGUGAAAGCCCGGGGCUUAACCCCGGGUCUGCAGUCGAUACGGGCAUGCUUGAGUUCGGUAGGGGAGAUCGGAAUUCCUGGUGUAGCGGUGAAAUGCGCAGAUAUCAGGAGGAACACCGGUGGCGAAGGCGGAUCUCUGGGCCGAUACUGACGCUGAGGAGCGAAAGCGUGGGGAGCGAACAGGAUUAGAUACCCUGGUAGUCCACGCCGUAAACGGUGGGCACUAGGUGUGGGCAACAUUCCACGUUGUCCGUGCCGCAGCUAACGCAUUAAGUGCCCCGCCUGGGGAGUACGGCCGCAAGGCUAAAACUCA
Molecule: ribosomal RNA, 822 nt
Filed under: Streptomyces sp. 7PE.2
Lineage: Bacteria; Bacillati; Actinomycetota; Actinomycetes; Kitasatosporales; Streptomycetaceae
Description: bacterial SSU rRNA
Rfam family: Bacterial small subunit ribosomal RNA
Source: RNAcentral